This 547-nucleotide long non-coding RNA is filed under the name Ananas comosus (pineapple). RNAcentral's name for it is "long non-coding RNA (ACOM_LNC029602)". The record is from RNAcentral. Lineage: Eukaryota; Viridiplantae; Streptophyta; Magnoliopsida; Poales; Bromeliaceae.
GAAUUAUAUAUAUAUACAGGAGUCCAGCUACUUUCCUUUCAGGAGGACUGAGAUCUUCGUCCUUCUAAGUCGCUUUAGAUGAUAGGGAUUCCGAAUCGAUGAUCGAAACCGUUAAAGUUGAUCUAGAGUAUUUAUAACGUCUAGAAACUAAAUUUUGUGAAUUUUAAAAUUCGUUAUCAAGUUCAUUGAAGAGUCGAAAAAUAAAUAGUAAAAAACGAAUAACUUUGUGAAAAUAAAUGUUAGACUUUUUCAAUCCAUGAUCGGAGUUAUCAAAUAUUAUCUAAAUAGUAUAAAAACUUUUCUAUCAAAAAUUUAAGCUAUUUGGAUUGUUCUAUACUGUUAAACAAGCAAACGGCUCAUAACGACAGUAAAAAAUUAUUGAUUUUGUGAUCCUUUGAUUACUACGUAAAUAAUAUUUAAAAUUCAUAAAAUUUAGUUUAUAAAUACUUUAAAUACUCUAGAUUAAUUUUAACGAUUCCGAACAUCGAUUUGAAAUCCCUGUUAUCUAAAAUGACUUAGAAGGGCGAAGACAUCGGUCUUCUUAAAA